GACUCCUCGUUUAUUUCUAGAUUGAUGGAUGGUAACAGAGCCUUCUCAAGGCAAAGAGAGGCAUUCGUGUCAUUAGGACUACGGAAGAGAUUUUAAUUAAUUGGACAAAUGCAUUCUUGGGCAAGGCGUUUCACAUCCUCUAUCCCUUCUCAACAUCUACAAAGUAAGAAAAAUCCAAACCCAAUCUCAAUUGAAACAAGUUUAUACAAGGUCAUAAAACCACAAGUUCGAAUUUAAUAGUCAUGCCUAAAUGAAAGCUUGUUUGGUGGCCAAGAUAUGAUUAAAGUAAGAUGAAUAAGAUUGUUAACUCUUAUAGUAUUCAAUAUUUGAUGCGCACUAAUUAAGUUUGGAUUCACUUGUACUCAGCUCGUAAAUGUGGGAAGUCUGAAAAAGAUUAAGGAGAACAACAAAAUUUCAUCAA
Glycine soja is the source of this 421-nucleotide long non-coding RNA. RefSeq lists it as uncharacterized. The transcript is spliced from 2 exons. NCBI's taxonomy places the organism in Eukaryota, Viridiplantae, Streptophyta, Magnoliopsida, Fabales, Fabaceae. The record is from RefSeq and is a predicted model, not a curated record.